RNAcentral lists this long non-coding RNA (285 nucleotides) under Solanum tuberosum (potato). Its description in RNAcentral is "long non-coding RNA (STUB_LNC006403)". Lineage: Eukaryota; Viridiplantae; Streptophyta; Magnoliopsida; Solanales; Solanaceae. The record is from RNAcentral.
GAUUUCUGAAUGUUGAUCCCUGAUUUUCGAAUGAGGCAAAACACCUCUUAUAUAGGCAAACUUCGGACUUUCAAAAGUCCAGAUUUGAAACUCAAAAUUAUUAAAACCCAUAGUGUAAUGCGAGGGGCGAGUGAAAUCUUGAAAAGAUCACCUUUAUAGGCUCCUCAGACUUGAGACCUAAGAGCUCCUUCUGUUCUUGACUUUUCUUUUCGAUGUAACAAGGGAAAAAAGGUGGGAUUAUUGACGGUUGUGGCAAAGAAAAGUGAUGGAGGGGACUUGAAGUUG